UCAGGAAAACUUGCAGAGGCAUUUUUCACAGUGUCUCCAGUGGAAGAAGUGGGAAGAUGAGGUUCGGAAGGGGUGCAUUCUUUCAGCGUGCCACAGGCUUUGCAGCAAAACUCACCAGGAGCUUGAGAGUUCUCUGCAGUGUAGAUGAAAUGAGGGAGGAAUGGAGUUUACAGGGAGAAAAAUGUGGGCCGAUGUAACACUAAGGCCAAUUAGCUCAGACAAAGGGCAAAAAUGAGAGCUGGCAACCUGUCUAGUAAGAAACGUGAGCAAGGCCCUAAUGCAGGUGCUGUUCCUCAGGGUCCAACAGCUGAAGGCCACGCUUGGUUUUUACAACAUUUCUUGGGCUCCCAGCUUUUCAGAACAGCACCCGUUGUUAGAAAGACGGCUGUCCAGAGAGAGAACAUACCAGCAUAGUGGGAUCGUUGAGCAAAGCAAGAACACUGGCGGUGGAUCUCAAGCAAAGCUUUCUGGCAGAACAUCGGGCCGAAAUGAAAGCUUCGUUCCAUGUGUUUUCCACUCUGCUUCAAGCCUCUUCCAGAUGCAGGAGUCUAACAGAGUCCACAUAAACAAGAAACCAAAACAAAACGGCACAAGAUCGAAAGCUUUCCCCUUGUGAUACAACCACUUUAUGUGCAGAGAGGCGCUCACAUGAUGCUGCCAACAUGUGUUUUCUGUCUCAGAUUUCCCUUGAUAACAAAGGACAUAUUUUAGAAGGCGUGGCCCUAGGUGCAUUUGGCCAGCAGGAAUCCGAGUGGAGUUUGGGGAUUUCAUUUGGGUUUAGGCUGAUCCCCUCGGGUGCCCAGUGCUACAGCCCUUGAUGAUGUUAAACCCCAAUUAAUAAAGUUGUUAGGAACACUUUGGGUCAGGUUUGUAAGAUAUGAUCUCAUUCUACUGCUCACAGAACUGAUUUAAUAUUCAGGAAUCAACUAAGCUCAUUCAUUUCCAAAAUUGGCAGCCCUGCAUGUUGCUUCACAGUACUCCCUCUGUCCAAGGCUGGGCAGGGUAUGUUAAAAGGAAAUCUGCAGAAGAGUCUUUCAUGAUGUUCCAAGACUCAGAGAGAAGGAUGGGGGCUGGGAAACAGGCAGGGUGGACAGGUGGGAGGGACAGUAGCUCUGCCUGAGGUAUGAAUGUGAUAGACAGAGAAAGGCAAUGAUAGCUCAGAAAAACUCACGACUCUUAUUGUUAGAAAUCCCACUUCCAAAUCUAUGCAAGUUUUAAGAAGCCAGAAAUAGCUGCAUUAACAUUACCGUAUGGACUUUUUUUAAAAAGUUGCAAAUGACCAUAAAAAAUAUCAGCCAUCUCUUUUGAUGACCUUACCUAAGUGAUUUAUGAUCUUAAAAGCCUCCUCUAAAUACUGCUUUUUAAUCAAGAAAGCUUAUGUUACUCUUCCUACACAAAAUUAACCUCACUUCAGAUUUUGAAGAAAAGGCAGAUCAUAUUUUUAAAUUUCAAUUUUUCAUCUUUUAAAUAG
RNAcentral lists this long non-coding RNA (1471 nucleotides) under Homo sapiens (human). Its description in RNAcentral is "HSALNT0025265". The record is from RNAcentral. Lineage: Eukaryota; Metazoa; Chordata; Mammalia; Primates; Hominidae.